CCUACGGGUGGCUGCAGUCGAGAAUCAUUCACAAUGGUGGAAACCCUGAUGGUGCGACGCCGCGUGGGGGAAUGAAGGUCUUCGGAUUGUAAACUCCUGUCAUGUGGGAGCAAAUUAAAAAGAUAGUACCACAAGAGGAAGAGACGGCUAACUCUGUGCCAGCAGCCGCGGUAAUACAGCGGUCUCAAGCGUUGUUCGGAAUCACUGGGCGUAAAGCGUGCGUAGGCUGUUUCGUAAGGCGGGUGUGAAAGGCGCGGGCUCAACCCGCGGACGGCAGAUGGUACUGGGAGGCUAGAGUAAUGGGGGGGGAACCGGAAUUCUCGGUGUAGCAGUGAAAUGCGUAGAUAUCGAGAGGAACACUCGUGGCGAAGGCAGGUUCCGGGACAUUAACUGACACUGAGGCACGAAGGCCAGGGGAGCGAAAGGGAUUAGAUACCCUAGUAGUC
This 446-nucleotide ribosomal RNA is filed under the name uncultured bacterium. Its description in RNAcentral is "partial 16S ribosomal RNA". It matches the Rfam family "Bacterial small subunit ribosomal RNA", at positions 338 to 795 of the family's 1533-position model. The record is from RNAcentral.